RNAcentral lists this ribosomal RNA (422 nucleotides) under uncultured bacterium. Its description in RNAcentral is "bacterial SSU rRNA". It matches the Rfam family "Bacterial small subunit ribosomal RNA", at positions 917 to 1341 of the family's 1533-position model. The record is from RNAcentral.
GGGCCCGCACAAGCGGUGGAGCAUGUGGUUUAAUUCGAUGAUACGCGAGGAACCUUACCAGGGCUUAAAUGGAAAAUGACAGGGGCAGAGACGCCCCCUUCUUCGGACAUUUUUCAAGGUGCUGCAUGGUUGUCGUCAGCUCGUGCCGUGAGGUGUCAGGUUAAGUCCUAUAACGAGCGCAACCCCUACCGUUAGUUGCCAGCGAGUAAUGUCGGGGACUCUAACGGAACUGCCGGUGCAAACCGUGAGGAAGGUGGGGACGACGUCAAAUCAUCACGGCCCUUACGUCCUGGGCCACACACGUGCUACAAUGGUAGGUACAACGAGUCGCAAUACCGCGAGGUGGAGCAAAUCUCUUAAAGCUUGUCUCAGUUCGGAUAGGAGUCUGCAACUCGACUCCUUGAAGUUGGAGUCGCUAGUAA